AAGUCGUAACAAGGUUUCCGUAGGUGAAUCUGCGGAAGAAUCAUUACCCCGUGAACCUUCAUCCUGCUCUUGUAACCCGCGUAGUUCGCAAUCUCUGAUAAAUCAUAGCCCGGAAAGUUGUAGUGAUUCGAACAUUGGAACAGUUACAAUCGAGCGGUAGUUCUAUAGGCAAUGUUUCCCUAAGCAGUCAGUGUCGGAAAGUGUCAUUGAUUGUGCAAGGAUAGCGCUUCUACGAUUCCUGGAGACCGUACACUCGGGCAGGAGCUUUGCCAAAGGGUCCCCAUGUGAAGCUCAAUGUAAUACAUUGGGUAAAAAAACCGAACAACUGUUAACAAUGGAUAUCUUGGUUCUC
Molecule: unclassified non-coding RNA, 352 nt
Filed under: fungal sp.
Lineage: Eukaryota; Fungi
Description: partial internal transcribed spacer region
Rfam family: Eukaryotic small subunit ribosomal RNA (bases 1-46)
Source: RNAcentral